Molecule: ribosomal RNA, 301 nt
Filed under: uncultured bacterium
Lineage: Bacteria
Description: partial 16S ribosomal RNA
Rfam family: Bacterial small subunit ribosomal RNA
Source: RNAcentral
CAGCCGCCACGGUAAUACAGAGGAUGCAAGCGUUAUCCGGAAUGAUUGGACGUAAAGCGUCUGUAGGUGGCUUUUCAAGUCCGCCGUCAAAUCCCAGGGCUCAACCCUGGACAGGCGGUGGAAACUACCAAGCUGGAGUACGGUAGGGGCAGAGGGAAUUUCCGGUGGAGCGGUGAAGUGCGUUGAGAUCGGAAAGAGCACCAACGGCGAAAGCACUCUGCUGGGCCGACACUGACACUGAGAGACGAAAGCUAGGGGAGCAAAUGGGAUUAGAUACCCCCGUAGUCCCUGUCUCUUAUAA